GCAAACUUGGUCAUUUAGAGGAAGUAAAAGUCGUAACAAGGUUUCCGUAGGGUGAGUUUGAUCCAGUCUUUCCGGUUUGAUCAGAAUGCUAACGAUUUACAGUGAACCUGCGGAAGGAUCAUUACCGAGUUCGGGGUUUCCCAAACUCCCACCCUUGUUUACCAAGUGUUGCUUCGGCGAGACGUUGGAAAGCAACCAUUGGCGAUUCCCUCCAGAUGACCCGAUGCGCGCUCGCCGGACUCCAAAUACUCUGAGAUUGUGUAUCGUCAGAUGAAACAAGCAAUUGAAUAAAAACUUUCAACAACGGAUCUCUUGGUUUUGGCAUCGAUGAAGAACGCAGC
Molecule: unclassified non-coding RNA, 341 nt
Filed under: uncultured fungus
Lineage: Eukaryota; Fungi
Description: partial contains small subunit ribosomal RNA, internal transcribed spacer 1, and 5.8S ribosomal RNA
Rfam family: Eukaryotic small subunit ribosomal RNA (bases 1-124)
Source: RNAcentral